CCUACGGGGGGCUGCAGUGGGGAAUAUUGGACAAUGGGGGGAACCCUGAUCCAGCCAUGCCGCGUGUGUGAAGAAGGCCCUCGGGUUGUAAAGCACUUUCAGUGAGGAAGAACGCCUGGUGGUUAAUACCCAUCAGGAAAGACAUCACUCACAGAAGAAGCACCGGCUAACUCCGCGCCAGCAGCCGCGGUAAUACGGAGGGUGCGAGCGUUAAUCGGAAUUACUGGGCGUAAAGCGCGCGUAGGUGGCUUGAUAAGCCGGUUGUGAAAGCCCCGGGCUCAACCUGGGAACGGCAUCCGGAACUGUCAAGCUAGAGUGCAGGAGAGGAAGGUAGAAUUCCCGGUGUAGCGGUGAAAUGCGUAGAGAUCGGGAGGAAUACCAGUGGCGAAGGCGGCCUUCUGGACUGACACUGACACUGAGGUGCGAAAGCGUGGGUAGCAAACAGGAUUAGAUACCCGGGUAGUC
Molecule: ribosomal RNA, 465 nt
Filed under: Vreelandella stevensii
Lineage: Bacteria; Pseudomonadati; Pseudomonadota; Gammaproteobacteria; Oceanospirillales; Halomonadaceae
Description: partial 16S ribosomal RNA
Rfam family: Bacterial small subunit ribosomal RNA
Source: RNAcentral